UACGUAGGCAGCGAGCGUUGUUCGGAGUUACUGGGCGUAAAGAGUGCGUAGGCGGUUUUCUAAGUUUGGUGUGAAAUCUCCCGGCUUAACUGGGAGGGUGCGCCGAAGACUGGAAGGCUUGAGUAUGGGAGAGGUAAGCGGAAUUCCUGGUGUAGCGGUGAAAUGCGUAGAUAUCUGGAGGAACACCGGUGGCGAAGGCGGCAUCCUGGACCGGUAUUGACGCUGAGGCGCGAAAGCCAGGGGAGUAAACGGG
Molecule: ribosomal RNA, 253 nt
Filed under: uncultured bacterium
Lineage: Bacteria
Description: partial 16S ribosomal RNA
Rfam family: Bacterial small subunit ribosomal RNA
Source: RNAcentral